Molecule: long non-coding RNA, 199 nt
Filed under: Elaeis guineensis (African oil palm)
Lineage: Eukaryota; Viridiplantae; Streptophyta; Magnoliopsida; Arecales; Arecaceae
Description: long non-coding RNA (EGUI_LNC010091)
Source: RNAcentral
GCAUGCCAUCUGACAAUGGUAAGUUAAGAACCUUUUAUCAAAAUCGACCAAACUUAUUGAAAGAAAGUCCUUUACUAGAUCAAUCUCAAAAAGAGAAAACUAUAUAUAUAGAGAGAGAGAGAAAUUUUUAAAAAGAGAAAUUAGAGAAAGAAAGUGGAGAGAGGAACUAAGUAAAGCAAGUGAAGAGAGAGAAGGGAGA